Tyto alba (common barn owl) is the source of this 1431-nucleotide long non-coding RNA. RefSeq lists it as uncharacterized. The record is from RefSeq and is a predicted model, not a curated record. Lineage: Eukaryota; Metazoa; Chordata; Aves; Strigiformes; Tytonidae. The transcript has 2 exons.
CCUUGGGCAUAAUUAGGACUAGAAAUUGGUAGUUUUGCUGUAAAGCAGCUGACUUAACAAUAGACACUAUUUAAAAUAGACUUCAGUUAAAAUCUUUAUUAUUGACUCAGAUUGUUUACUUGAAAACUUCCUCACAGCUACGUGACAUUUUGCUUUGCUAAAUAUUAACGUGCACAGAUUUUAAGGGCUCCUUCCACUGGAGAAGUUACUCUAAAUGAUACAGCGACCAAGUAAAAAUUUGGAUUCAUUGAUAAAGAACAUCAAAGACUGUGUUAGGGAUAUGCAGGCUUUCAUCCAAGGACCAAGUCAAAAUACAGUAUGAAUUACUGGAAGCUCUGGAGCAGACCCUAUGGCAGUGCCUGAACCAGCGCCCAACUGGUCUGUGUAUGUCUCAAGAAUCAUGUUAUUUUCAAGUUAUCAGGGAGAAUAUGUACAUUGACACAUUCCUCACUCCCAGAAUAUGAAAUAAGCAGGAGAUUAGGAAUGUACAACCAGUUUUCUUCAAGUGGCUCCAUUUUUAUUCCACCUGGAAAUUUUGUCUGAGAAAAAAAAAAACAAAAAGAGGACUUUGAUUGUUGGGGAAAGCCAGAUGAUCCAGAGCAUGGAGCAGUUUCUCUGAUAAUGCAACAAAAUUACUGAAAAUCUUGGACAGCCAUUCAUAGACCUGUGUUGACUCUGCAUCCCGUGCUUAGAUUUCUCUGGGCUCACUGAGCUUGUAUCUAAGUCACUUGUGUAUAAGCACUAAUUACAACACACACAGAACGUGUCAGAUUCUGCUGGCAGUUUAUGUGCAGUUUGUCUGAUAUACAGGAUGUGCUGGAUGCACUCUCUGUACCACACAUGGUACAUAUGACUAUGUAUCCAUCCAAUGUUUUGUGAAAGAGUCCAGAGGGGAUGACCAGAGACAUACAAAAGAGUAAGAAACCUGGACAGCUUGCUGUGUAGGAAAAUUCAUGUAAAGUAGCAAAACUUUUGACUUUAUAAAAGGCAAAAUAAUAUAGGAAAAUACUAACAGCACUCCAUUUUCUUGAAAAGCACUCUUCAAAUGAUCUCUGAUGCUUCUUUAAAUUGAACUGGUUGAUAUACUAGCUUAGGAGAGGAAUUUGGCCAUUUACUCACAUUUCUUUUGUAAUUCUUAUCAACUAGCCUGGGUUCCAAAGGUAUGCAAAAAAAAUUUUGUUGAAGGUUAAACUGAUUUCAUGUAAACUAUAUGAAUUUUAGUAUUUAAUUAUCUUCCUUGGCGAAUUACAUUUCAACACUUACAAAAUGAGUAACUCUUCUGUGUUUUUAACCAUGUACCUCAUAGGAUAUGAUGGUUAUAGAAUGUGACAGUAUAUGGUCAUCAUGUGCCUGUAUAUCAUAGGAUUUUGACAUCUGUGAAUUGUAGUUUCUGUUGCUGCAAUAACAAAUAAAGCCAAAUAUGUUAAGAAA